This 449-nucleotide ribosomal RNA is filed under the name uncultured bacterium. RNAcentral's name for it is "bacterial SSU rRNA". It matches the Rfam family "Bacterial small subunit ribosomal RNA", at positions 335 to 799 of the family's 1533-position model. The record is from RNAcentral.
ACUCCUACGGGAGGCAGCAGUGGGGAAUCUUGCGCAAUGGGCGAAAGCCUGACGCAGCCAUGCCGCGUGAAUGAUGAAGGUCUUAGGAUUGUAAAAUUCUUUCACCGGGGACGAUAAUGACGGUACCCGGAGAAGAAGCCCCGGCUAACUUCGUGCCAGCAGCCGCGGUAAUACGAAGGGGGCUAGCGUUGCUCGGAAUUACUGGGGCGUAAAGGGAGCGUAGGCGGACAUUUAAGUCAGGGGUGAAAUCCCGGGGCUCAACCUCGGAAUUGCCUUUGAUACUGGAUGUCUUGAGUGUGAGAGAGGUAUGUGGAACUCCGAGUGUAGAGGUGAAAUUCGUAGAUAUUCGGAAGAACACCAGUGGCGAAGGCGACAUACUGGCUCAUUACUGACGCUGAGGCUCGAAAGCGUGGGGAGCAAACAGGAUUAGAUACCCUGGUAGGAUAGCG